AGACACGGACCAAACUCCUACGGGAGGCAGCAAGUGAGGAAUAUGAUCAAAUGGCCGAGAGGCUGAACCAGCCAAGUCGCGUGAAGGAAGAAGGAUAUAUAAUUAGUAAACUUCUUUUAUAGGGGAAUAAAGUGGAGGACGUGUCCUUUUUUGUAUGUACCCUAUGAAUAAGCAUCGGCUAACUCCGUGCCAGCAGCCGCGGUAAUACGGAGGAUGCGAGCGUUAUCCGGAUUUAUUGGGUUUAAAGGGUGCGUAGGUGGUGAUUUAAGUCAGCGGUGAAAGUUUGUGGCUCAACCAUAAAAUUGCCGUUGAAACUGGGUUACUUGAGUGUGUUUGAGGUAGGCGGAAUGCGUGGUGUAGCGGUGAAAUGCAUAGAUAUCACGCAGAACUCCGAUUGCGAAGGCAGCUUACUAAACCAUAACUGACACUGAAGCACGAAAGCGUGGGGAUCAAACAGGAUUAGAUACCCUGGUAGUCCAUGCAGUAAACGAUGAUUACUAGGAGUUUGCGAUACAAUGUAAGCUCUACAGCGAAAGCGUUAAGUAAUCCACCUGGGGAGUACGCCGGCAACGGUGAAACUCAAAGGAAUUGACGGGGGCCCGCACAAGCGGAGGAACAUGUGGUUUAAUUCGAUGAUACGCGAGGAACCUUACCCGGGUUUGAACGUAGUCUGACCGGAGUGGAAACACUUUUUCUAGCAAUAGCAGAUUACGAGGUGCUGCAUGGUUGUCGUCAGCUCGUGCCGUGAGGUGUCGGCUUAAGUGCCAUAACGAGCGCAACCCUUAUCACUAGUUACUAACAGGUGAAGCUGAGGACUCUGGUGAGACUGCCAGCGUAAGCUGUGAGGAAGGUGGGGAUGACGUCAAAUCAGCACGGCCCUUACAUCCGGGGCGACACACGUGUUACAAUGGCAUGGACAAAGGGCAGCUACCUGGCGACAGGAUGCUAAUCUCCAAACCAUGUCUCAGAUCGGAUCGGAGUCUGCAACUCGACUCCGUGAAGCUGGAUUCGCUAGUAAUCGCGCAUCAGCCAUGGCGCGGUGAAUACGUUCCCGGGCCUUGCACUCAACGCCCGUC
RNAcentral lists this ribosomal RNA (1076 nucleotides) under uncultured bacterium. RNAcentral's name for it is "bacterial SSU rRNA". It matches the Rfam family "Bacterial small subunit ribosomal RNA", at positions 322 to 1398 of the family's 1533-position model. The record is from RNAcentral.